This 484-nucleotide ribosomal RNA is filed under the name uncultured bacterium. Its description in RNAcentral is "partial 16S ribosomal RNA". It matches the Rfam family "Bacterial small subunit ribosomal RNA", at positions 30 to 507 of the family's 1533-position model. The record is from RNAcentral.
AUUGAACGCUGGCGGCAGGCCUAACACAUGCAAGUCGAGCGGAUGAAGGGAGCUUGCUCCUGGAUUCAGCGGCGGACGGGUGAGUAAUGCCUAGGAAUCUGCCUGGUAGUGGGGGAUAACGUCCGGAAACGGGCGCUAAUACCGCAUACGUCCUGAGGGAGAAAGUGGGGGAUCUUCGGACCCCACGCUAUCAGAUGAGCCUAGGUCGGAUUAGCUAGUUGGUGGGGUAAAGGCCUACCAAGGCGACGAUCCGUAACUGGUCUGAGAGGAUGAUCAGUCACACUGGAACUGAGACACGGUCCAGACUCCUACGGGAGGCAGCAGUGGGGAAUAUUGGACAAAGGGCGAAAUCCUGAUCCAGCCAUGCCGCGUGUGUGAAGAAGGUCUUCGGAUUGUAAAGCACUUUAAGUUGGGAGGAAGGGCAGUAAGUUAAUACCUUGCUGUUUUGACGUUACCAACAGAAUAAGCACCGGCUAACUUCGUG